This 796-nucleotide long non-coding RNA is filed under the name Vulpes vulpes (red fox). RNAcentral describes it as "lncRNA (ENSVVUG00000009526.1)". Lineage: Eukaryota; Metazoa; Chordata; Mammalia; Carnivora; Canidae. The record is from RNAcentral.
GCAAGCAGGUCCAAAAUAGCUGAAGGGGGCCAGAGCCUGAGCAUCAGCUGUCACUGCAAACUUCCCAUAAAAACACAGUCAGAUCGACGUGUAUCCCCAUGCUCGUGGCCCUCAGUGGAAAACCUCUCACAUCUAGUUGUCUGGGGCUUGGAUAUACUGCAGAGUGCUAAAGCACUAGCUAAUCCUCUUCUUGGUCUGCGAGUUCAAACCAGGAAUUAUGACGAAAGGGAAGCCUUUGUGAAGGUGAUCCGAAAGUUGCAGAUUUUUGUCUUUGUCCUUCACGGAGACCUCCUCCAUUGGGCCAGAGCAUUCAGAAACAAGAUUGGCACCAGAGUGCUCCCCACAAGACUGUCAGAGAUUGACUGGGACACCCUUCUGCCAUCAGAUAGCAUACCAGGCAGAGAAAAUUGUAAUUACUCUUCAAAUUUCAGAAAGAACUCUUACCCUUUCUCCAUCCUUCCUGACUGUUGUUCCAUGUAUGUGGGAUUCCAACUACAUCUGAUGUCUGCUGAUGAAACUUCAAGUACUGAAGAUCCCCUGGUCAGUUUCUCCCCGAGUCAAAAAAGAAAGUUCCCCCAAUUUCUCCAAACCACUUCACAAUUAAGUAGAGAAAGUGUUGUAAUUCCCAAGUGGUUAUUCUGACAUAACCACUGUUUGCACUUUUCUUGUUCGUUGCCAAUUAGUCAUAGGAACCACUACAAUGGGAAAGAUUCAAACAUGUAAAAAUUUAUAUUGCCUAAUGGGCUAAUUUGCAUGAGAGCUAUUAGAGAAAUAAAGGCUCAUUUGAUACGUAGCA